GGAGCACUAAAAAUGGAUGAAAUGAGGGUUGUAGAAGGAUAAUUGGAUUUGAUGGUGCAUUUCUAAAGGGUGUGUGUAAAGGUGAACUAUUGUCUUGUAUUUUCAAGGAUGGAAAUAAUCAAAUGUACCCUGUAGCAUGGACAGUAGUUGAUAAAGAAUCCAAGGAUACAUGGUCUUGGUUUAUGAAAUGCAUCAAGCAUGAUUUGGAGCUGACACAAACUGGAGAAAAAUGGAUUCAGAAUUGGAACUUCAACUGCAGGAACUGCUGCUGUAACUACUAAAAUGCCCACCACUACUUCAGCAGCUCCUACAGGUGUAACUGCUAGUACGGAGAUGCCCACCAUUGCUUCAGCAGCUGCUGGAACUUCAACUACAAGUGCUACAAAUAUUUUUGUAAAUGUUGAAAGUGUUUCUCAGCCAACAAGUCAAUUCAAUACUCAAUAGUCAACUACUGGUGCUGGUGUCUCAAAGAGGAAGAAUAACACAAUUAAAAGAGAUGGUGCAAAUCCUGGAUAUAAGAGGCCAAGAACAUCUGAUUUUGGUGUGCUAUUUGGAGAAAAUGGUAGUGUGAUACAGAGGCUUGGAACUGUUGAUAGAGUGCUACAUAGUCCUACAUUGAAGAGUUCAGUGCCUAUCAAUAUUGAUCUUGGAUACAAACCUAAUGGACUAAGGUGGAAGGGUAGAGAUGCAGUUACUCAAACACAACUACAAGAAGAAAGUUACAAAAGAGCAAACUGUUCUACAAAUACUCAUGCCACUACAAGCACUCAGUCCAGAACAACUAAUGUCACACCAGCACUCAAGACACAUAGUUUUUCACAAUAAAGACUUAUAUAAAGUCUAGCU
Solanum dulcamara is the source of this 846-nucleotide long non-coding RNA. RefSeq lists it as uncharacterized. The transcript has 3 exons. The record is from RefSeq and is a predicted model, not a curated record. NCBI's taxonomy places the organism in Eukaryota, Viridiplantae, Streptophyta, Magnoliopsida, Solanales, Solanaceae.